CCCUUAGAUGUUCUGGGCCGCACGCGUGCUACACUGAGUAAAUCAAUGGGUAAGGGAACACGAAAGUGCAACCUAAUCUUGAAAUUUGCUCGUGAUGGGGAUCGACGGUUGCAAUUUUCCGUCGUGAACGAGGAAUACCUUGUAGGCGCGUGUCAUCAUCACGCGCCGAAUACAUCCCUGCCCUUUGUACACACCGCCCGUCGCUCCUACCGAUUGAGUGAUCCGGUGAGGCUCUGGGACCUGGACGGAAAGAGCGUUUCGCUUGUUCUGUUUGGGAAACUUGGUCGAACCUUAUCAUUUAGAGGAAGGAGAAGUCGUAACA
This 322-nucleotide ribosomal RNA is filed under the name uncultured eukaryote. Its description in RNAcentral is "partial 18S ribosomal RNA". It matches the Rfam family "Eukaryotic small subunit ribosomal RNA", at positions 1470 to 1796 of the family's 1831-position model. The record is from RNAcentral.